Molecule: non-coding RNA, 2891 nt
Organism: Nicotiana tabacum (common tobacco)
Lineage: Eukaryota; Viridiplantae; Streptophyta; Magnoliopsida; Solanales; Solanaceae
Source: RefSeq, a predicted model, not a curated record
UUUCUGUAUUGCCCUUACCAUUAAUUACUCAUUCCAAAUCAUUUUUCGAAUUUAUUAAGACUAUACACCAAUUAAUAUGGGUAUCAUGAUAAAUUAUGCACUUUAUUUAUUAUUUCUUAAGGGGCGUGCAAAAUCCAAAGUGAACAAGUACAAGUGAACGGGGGGAGUAAUUAAAAUUCAGCUAUCUUUAUGCGGUGUACAAGUUAGCAGUCAAUUCCAUAAUAGGCAGAGGCGGAACUAGGAUUUCAAACUUAUUGGUCUGGGAUUUUAAUCGCCUUAAGUUAUUGGGUUCUAAAUUAAUAAUUUAUACAUAUUCAAUAAAUGUUUUAAGACAAAUACAGAAUUCGAACUAAAGCUAUUAUGUUCGGCCGAACCCUCCUUCCCCAGCUUGCUCUUGGGGUCACUCGAACUUAUAACCUUUUGGUUGGAAGUGGAGGGUGCUCACAACUGUAGCAACCUACUCUUGUCAAUUUAUUUGUAGUAAAUAGCCAAAUAUAUUUAUAUUUCCUCUGAAAAAACAAAAACAAAAUAUCCAUCUUGCUCCCCUUUUUCCCCUUCUCCAUUUUCCAUCAACAAAUAAAAAUUGACACAAAAGCAUCAAGAAAACUACAUAGUAAACAAGAGGGGGAAAUUCUCAAGAUAUAUAAAGGGAUUGAAGAAAAAUCCAAUCUUUCUUUUGAAAAAAGGAGAUGGCUUUAAUACGCCUUCUCACCCAGGGGAGUCUAUAGAGGAUAGAUAAGCCCAGCUAUACAAAUACAUGAGGCAUCUAGCCUUGAGUCUGUGGGGAGAAGUUGAUACUCCAUCAAAAUACCUGCUGUUUCUCUCAUUCCAAAUGCUCCAAAAAAUAGCUGCAGGACAUUGAAGAAAAAGAUGGUUGUGAGUUUCUGCCUCCCUCUGGUACAUGUAACAUCUAUUCACAAUCUGAAAAUUCCUCUCGGCUAAGUUGUCCUGUGUCAGACAAGCCUCAUAAAGUGCAGUCCAAUUGAAGCAGAUGACUUUGGGUGGCAACUUGAUUUUCCAUAUUAACUUCCAAGAUCAAUGGUUAGUUAUUACAUUAUGAGUUCGUGCUAACUUGCAGGCUGUUUUGACUGAGUACUUUCCUGCAUCUGCAAUACCCUAUUUGAACUGAUCAGGUACUAGAGUGUUGCUUGAAAAAUUGUUGAGUGUGGAAAGAAGUCUGAGCAGAUCCUCAUAUUCCCAGUCUUGCAAGUUCCUUCUAAAUGUUAUAUUCAAUGAGUUUCCUUCUUUGUACUGAUGAAUUGUUGAGUCUGGAUCACUAACCAUCUGAAAGAGAGCAGGGUAGUCAUUCCAUAGGGGUGUGUUGCCUAGCCAUUUGUCCUUCCAGAAUUUUAUUUGUUGUCCAUCUGCAAACUGCAAAGUGCUGGUUUUGUGAGAACUCCUCCCAGAGUUUGUAGAUGCUCUUCCAAACUUCAACUCCUUGUGGUGCUUUAGAUAGCUUGGUGCACCAGUGGCUUUGGGUUCCAUGUUUGGCACUGACAACUUUCUUCCAUAGGCUCUGCUCCUCCCGUGUAUAUCUCCAAAGCCAUUUCAUCAAUAAGCAUUUGUUGUGCAGAGCUAAGUCCCUGACCCCUAAUCCACCUUGGUCCUUUGGUAAGAUAACUUUAGACCACUUUACCAGGUAGAACUUGUGAUCAUCUUUAGUCCCUUCCCAUAGAAAGUUUCUUCUGAUCUUGUCAAGCUGCUUCAGGACCUUACUAGGCAUUGGAAAGAGUUACAUCUGGUAGGUUGGGAUGCUGUCUAGGAACACUACUGAUUAGAGUUAGUCUUCCACCCAUAGACAAAUACUGUAGCUUCCAAGAAAUAAGUUUCUUUUCAAAUUACUCAAUGAUCCCACUCCAUAUAGUUUCUGACUUGAACUUUUCCCCUAGUGGAAGUCCCAGGUAAGUGGUUGAUAAACAUCCAUUAUUGCAGCCUAAAAUUCUAGCCAGGUCUUCUAAAUUAUGCACCUCAUUAACAAGAUAGAUUACACUUUUGAGCAUGUUAAUGUGAAGACCUGAAAUAGCUUCAAAAAUAAGAAGGGUUAGAUUUAGAUAGAGUACUUGACUUCUGUCUGCCCCACAGAAAAUCAAAUUGUCAUCUGCAUAGAGCAUAUGAGAAAUAUUGACUGUGCUUCCUCUCCCAACAUCAAAACCUUUCAACCAUUGCAUCUGCUUAGCUUUAUCCAACAUCUUACCGAGUCCUUCCAUUGCUAAUAUGAAUAAGAAUGGUGAGAGUGGGUCUCCCUGUCUCUAUCCCCUCUGUGGGGAGAAAAAACUAACUUGGUUCCUGUUGAUUAGAAUGGAGUACUUCACAGUAGAGAUAUUGAACUUGAUCCAUUUUAACCAUCUUUCCCCAAAUCCCAUUUGCUUGAGAAUGGAAAUGAGGUAGGACCAGUUAAGUUGAUCAAAGGCUUUUUUCUAUGUCCAUCUUACAUAGAAUCCCUACAUCCCCUUGCGUUAACUGCCAAUCAAGGACAUCGUUUGCUUUCACUGAAGCAUCUGUAAUCUGCCUUCCUUGGAUGAAUGCAUUCUGUUGAUUUGAGACCAAUUUUCCCAUUACUUUCUUCAACCUUUCAGCUAGGACUUUAGCUAUGAUCUUGUACACACUACCAAUUAGACUAAUUGGUCUAUAGUCCCUUAGCUCCAUUGCCCCUUUCUUUUUAGGAAUGAGCGCAUUGAAUUAUGCAUUACAUGACCUAACCAUCCAACAAUGCUGGUGAUAGUAACUCAUAGCUGCAAGUAUGCAGUGUUUAAUGAACUCCCAUUAGUGCCGGUAGAAAGCCAUUGUGUACCUGGAUGCCCUUGGUGCUUUCUCAACAUCGGGUUGGCUUUAUUAAUUCUGCAUUUACGAAUACCUCUAUAAGUUAUGUUAGAAUUUGCGUAUUAUUUAUG